RNAcentral lists this ribosomal RNA (118 nucleotides) under Pteropus alecto (black flying fox). The record is from RNAcentral. Lineage: Eukaryota; Metazoa; Chordata; Mammalia; Chiroptera; Pteropodidae.
GUCUACAGCGAUGCCAUCCUGAACAAGCCCAAUCCUGUCUGAUCUCAGAACCUAAGCAUAGUUGGGCCUGGUUAGUGCUAGGAUGAGAGAUGACCUAGGAAGACCAGGUCUGUAAGCA